UACGAAGGGGACUAGCGUUGUUCGGAAUCACUGGGCGUAAAGCGCACGUAGGCGGAUAUGUCAGUCAGGGGUGAAAUCCCGGGGCUCAACCUCGGAACUGCCCUUGAUACAGCAUAUCUUGAGUCCGAUAGAGGUGGGUGGAAUUCCUAGUGUAGAGGUGAAAUUCGUAGAUAUUAGGAAGAACACCGGUGGCGAAGGCGGCCCACUGGAUCGGUACUGACGCUGAGGUGCGAAAGCGUGGGGAGCGAACAGG
RNAcentral lists this ribosomal RNA (253 nucleotides) under uncultured bacterium. RNAcentral describes it as "partial 16S ribosomal RNA". It matches the Rfam family "Bacterial small subunit ribosomal RNA", at positions 524 to 776 of the family's 1533-position model. The record is from RNAcentral.